Long non-coding RNA from Thalassophryne amazonica, 1195 nucleotides. RefSeq lists it as uncharacterized. Lineage: Eukaryota; Metazoa; Chordata; Actinopteri; Batrachoidiformes; Batrachoididae. The transcript has 2 exons. The record is from RefSeq and is a predicted model, not a curated record.
GUUGCUGUAGAGUUCAGGUGGUUGGUGGUUUUGCUUCAACGAGCUAAAAGCUCCUUCAAUCUGCAGAUUUUCCUGUCUGAAAAAGUCACAUUGACUUGAAAUUGUACAGAGGUAAAUCUGUGACGAAAUGCGACGUCAGGGUUUUUUGUUUGCUUUCUUCUUUGUAGUUGAGAUGCGGUUUCCACACUUGUCACAGCAACAAAGGCAGUGGGUUCGAUCCUCUUCAGGAUCGCUUUCUGUCCAUCCGAAGCCACUCAGGCGCUGCUCUCCAACCAUCUGCCAUGAUGGGUGGGUCAGAUAUAGUUCCUCCUCUUCUGCUCACUUUGAUGCACUUUCUUCUUUUUCACAAAAAGGGAUGCAAACAUAGUUCUUCGGUUCAUCAUGUCUGAAUGUUUUUAUUUGCACUUUAACUCUUAGUCUGAUUGGCUGAUUGUCCGGGUUGUUCUUGUUACGUCAUCUGCCGAUUGGGUUUGUUUUUAUCUUUCUGUUAUUGAUUCACCUCAUUUCAAGGAAAAUUUUUUGAGAUCUCAAAGUUGCUGGCCAGCGAUAAACUGAUUAAACGUUUUAGUUUACCAUAAAAAAUACUGAAAUUUUAAACAUUUGGAUUUGUUUGUAGCCCUAAUAGCAUGUGAAAGCUAGCGUUAGCUUUACGUAGCUUCACUUAGCUUUGGUUUAGCUGCUGUUUGGAAAAUGACGGGAGCAUUUUGUAGGUACUGUUAGCAUAACCAGGCUAAUGCUGUGGAUUAUUUAUAACAGUAUUACAAUGAAAACAUGUAACUUUCAUGAAAGUAAAGGUGAAAAGAUUUAAAGUUUAAAAAAAAAAAAUCAAACAGCCACGUGUGAGAUGGAUCAGUCUGUGACGGCGUGAUUGGAAAAAUGCUAUAUGCUGGUUAGCUCAUGGGGACGCUAACUGUUUGCGCCUUUAAAUGUACAAAUAAAGUCCGAAUUUCCCUCCAGCCUGGUUCUGUGUGGACGACAUUAAAGCUGCUUUGUGGACUUCAGCUCGAUUUAGACGCCUGCUGGUUUCCUCAUUGGCGUUUUUGGCACAUUGUUACGGUUUGUAGCCAAUUGCACCUUACUACUUAUUUAUUUUUAUACAACUCUUUUAAUGAUCUGGUUUGAAGAUGUUGUAUGUGAAUGUGCCUCAUUUAAUUCACCUCCAGAUAAUCAACAAUAAACCCGAACUUCAAAUGAA